UAGAGUUUGAUCAUGGCUCAGGAUGAACGCUAGCGGCAGGCUUAACACAUGCAAGUCGAGGGGCAUCGGGAGGAAAGCUUGCUUUCCUUGCCGGCGACCGGCGCACGGGUGAGUAACACGUAUGCAACCUGCCCUCUUCAGGGGGACAACCUUCCGAAAGGGAGGCUAAUCCCGCGUAUAUCGGUUUCGGGCAUCCGAGAUCGAGGAAAGAUUCAUCGGAAGAGGAUGGGCAUGCGGCGCAUUAGCUUGACGGCGGGGUAACGGCCCACCGUGGCGACGAUGCGUAGGGGUUCUGAGAGGAAGGUCCCCCACACUGGUACUGAGACACGGACCAGACUCCUACGGGAGGCAGCAGUGAGGAAUAUUGGUCAAUGGGAGAGAUCCUGAACCAGCCAAGCCGCGUGAGGGAAGACGGCCCUAUGGGUUGUAAACCUCUUUUGUCGGAGAACAAAACCCGGGACGUGUCCCGGACUGCGUGUAUCCGAAGAAAAAGCAUCGGCUAACUCCGUGCCAGCAGCCGCGGUAAUACGGAGGAUGCGAGCGUUAUCCGGAUUUAUUGGGUUUAAAGGGUGCGUAGGCGGUCCGUUAAGUCAGCGGUAAAAUUGCGGGGCUCAACCCCGUCGAGCCGUUGAAACUGGCAGACUUGAGUUGGCGAGAAGUACGCGGAAUGCGCGGUGUAGCGGUGAAAUGCAUAGAUAUCGCGCAGAACUCCGAUUGCGAAGGCAGCGUACCGGCGCCAGACUGACGCUGAGGCACGAAAGCGUGGGGAUCGAACAGGAUUAGAUACCCUGGUAGUCCACGCAGUAAACGAUGAAUGCUGGUUGUCCGGGUCGAAUGAGAUCUGGGCGGCGAAGCGAAAGCGAUAAGCAUUCCACCUGGGGAGUACGCCGGCAACGGUGAAACUCAAAGGAAUUGACGGGGGCCCGCACAAGCGGAGGAACAUGUGGUUUAAUUCGAUGAUACGCGAGGAACCUUACCCGGGCUCAAACGGGAGCGGAAUGGACCAGAGACGGUUCAGCCUACGGGCCGCUUCCGAGGUGCUGCAUGGUUGUCGUCAGCUCGUGCCGUGAGGUGUCGGCUUAAGUGCCAUAACGAGCGCAACCCCCGCCGGCAGUUGCUAACGGGCAAUGCCGAGGACUCUGCCGGGACUGCCGCCGCAAGGCGAGAGGAAGGCGGGGAUGACGUCAAAUCAGCACGGCCCUUACGUCCGGGGCGACACACGUGUUACAAUGGGCGGUACAGCGGGAAGCCAGGCGGCGACGCCGAGCGGAACCCGAAAGCCGUUCUCAGUUCGGAUCGGAGUCUGCAACCCGACUCCGUGAAGCUGGAUUCGCUAGUAAUCGCGCAUCAGCCAUGGCGCGGUGAAUACGUUCCCGGGCCUUGUACACACCGCCCGUCAAGCCAUGGGAGCCGGGGGUGCUUGAAGUGCGUCGCCGCGAGGCGCGCCCUAGAGCAAAACCGGUGACUGGGGCUAAGUCGUAACAAGGUAACCGUA
This 1495-nucleotide ribosomal RNA is filed under the name uncultured bacterium. RNAcentral's name for it is "16S ribosomal RNA". It matches the Rfam family "Bacterial small subunit ribosomal RNA". The record is from RNAcentral.